CAUUUAUUGAGAGUUUGAUCCUGGCUCAGGACGAACGCUGGCGGCGUGCCUAACACAUGCAAGUCGAACGGAGAUACAUUGUAGCAAUAUGGUGUAUCUUAGUGGCGGACGGGUGAGU
Molecule: ribosomal RNA, 118 nt
Filed under: Clostridiales bacterium
Lineage: Bacteria; Bacillati; Bacillota; Clostridia; Eubacteriales
Description: partial 16S ribosomal RNA
Rfam family: Bacterial small subunit ribosomal RNA
Source: RNAcentral